Panicum virgatum (switchgrass) is the source of this 2658-nucleotide RNA transcript. RefSeq lists it as uncharacterized. The transcript is spliced from 5 exons. The record is from RefSeq and is a predicted model, not a curated record. NCBI's taxonomy places the organism in Eukaryota, Viridiplantae, Streptophyta, Magnoliopsida, Poales, Poaceae.
GAAACAGUAAUGGAUGCAUGCGUUUCUAUAUAUGCUACCUAUAGAACCACCAGAUUGGGAUAUUAAUUUUGUUGCUUGAUCAAGUGAUGGUCUUACAUACACCGCCUAACCGCAAAACGUACAAUUCCUGUUGCCAUAAUCUGUUCUGUUUCUGCAUGUUCAGUUUCUUUCACGCUGCAGCCAGCUGCUGUUAUUUCUCAGCUCUCGAUCGGCUUGUAAGUUGUUAAAUAACUGAUCGAUGUCCUUUUUAUCCAUUAGAAUGAAGCAUGCAUGGAACAGGUGGUUAAAUAACUGAUUGAUGUCCUUUGUAUCCAUUAUUAAGCGUGUAACAGCACAUUGGUUAUUAGUUACCCACUGUUCCAUCACCAAGGCAUGCGUUUCUGUUUUGUGCUUGGAUCUUUUAUUAAUUUCUUUCAGAGAGCAUACGAAUGAGUAAGGAUGAUUGAUCUAAUAUUCCCAAUGAACUUGCAUAUAACUAGUAGUACUGAACAAACAGAAUUUUUCAUUGUCUUGUCUCGCAGACAAUCAGAAAGCUCUUUUGAUUCCAUCACCACAUAUUUGUUGGGAAAUUUAAGGUCGUUACAAGUGAAUCUGUUGUGCUCAUUGGAGCUUUACUUUUGUUUGCUUGGUGCCGGACGUUGGGAACUGACUGCAGGUUCAUAAAUUUGAAGGUCAGGACGAAGGACCCUUUCUUCUAUAUACUUUAAGAUUACUGGUUUUGUUUGCAACAGUGAACUAGUUAGCGGCAUUAAAUUCCAUGGAAUUGUUCUCAUCCAGAAAAGGGUUUAGGAGUGGAGACUGACCCCUAUAUUGUCAGGAACUCUUUCUGGGGACAUUCAGUUUGUACAAGAAUUGUAGGCACCUGUAUUACAAGAACUUCUUGAUUUUAAGCCAUUCAGGAGCAAAGUAGUAUGGGUUGAUGAACUCAGGAGCAAAGUAGUAUGGGUUGAUGAACUAGUAUAGUAAAAGAAGAUGAUGUAAUUGAAAAGUUCUUUAAGAAAAAAGAGAAAUGGCCUUAUAAAAUUCUCAGAAAAGGAAAAUCUUAUGACCCUCGAAUAUGAAGUACCAAUCUUAAUUAAUAUAGUUGCUGGUUAAUGGCAUCUGGACCUUGCAUAGCACAGUCAACAGGUUUAAGGAUCUCAAUUCUCAUUUUUAAAAGUUCAAUGGAUCUGGAGUAUACAACUGAACAAGUUUAAAAACUGCUAGCUCCUUUUCACGAUAUCUGUGCACUCUAAUAGAAAAAAGGAUUGUUCAUUAUGUUCUAUGCCUACAGAUCUCUGAACAACAAGUUCGAAGGCUCCAUCCCACCAUCACUAGGCGGAAUCCCAGACUUAUACUUGUUUGAUUUGGCUAACAAUUUGCUGACCGGAGACCUUCCAGUAUUCAAUGGAACAGAUCCUGGCUUGGAUAACUGACAGAUGCAAUGCACUUCCACUUGUCAGGGAUUGAUCUGUCAGCCUCCAUAGUGAUCCAGAUUUUCAAGUCAGAAAUGCAACUCAUACAUCUGUAAGGCUGAUGACCUUGAAUUCUUGAAGUCAUCUCUUUCUCGAUUCUUUCUGUGAAGAUGAGAUAUAGUGGUUUUAUUUAUUUUGUGUGAUCAGUCUGCUUGACAACAACAAAUUCUCCGGUAGUAUUCCUCCUACGCUGGGCCUUCUUGACAAACUAGAAGUUCUUAAUAGAUAGAAAGAACGGUCCGAAAUACAAUGCCAAGUCCACGGCAUGGGUUAGUUUUUUGUUACAUUCGCACCUAAGUAUGAAGUAAAUAACCACACACACUUCGGCCUAACAGCAAUGCCAGCAGCUCCCUCAGCGCAUUUGCCCCAGCCAUCUUCCACAAGGUGGCCUGCUCGUUUAUCUCCUGCAGCACAAGGUGGGUGUCCGGGUGGCAGCUGUCGAAAACACAGCGGUUGUGCAGCUUCCAGAUCGACCAAGCCACGAGGAUCACCAGGGAAUUCAGACCUUUUCUAGCAUCCUUAGGCGUUCUGCUUCUUGAUAACAAUUAUCAGUUGAGUGGGCCGAUUCCUUCCAGUAUCAACAACCUUACCAAUCUUGGAGAACUGCGAGUCUCUUAUUUUGUGGCACAGUGCUAAGCAUUUUUGCCAGUACCAGUUCCGGAAUACUACUGUUCUGUACUUUCUCUCGUCUGACAUUAGGCAGCUACAAAACAACAAUUUUACUGGUCCACUACUACCAGAUCUAACAGGACUGAGUUCACUCAGAUUUGUGUAAGUGAUGAGUGCACCUUUCCAUUCUGAAAUUAAGAAACAAGUUCUUCUGAAUCUAUUGCAACAUUGUCACAGGGCAUGAGCGACAACAGUUUCGACCGCAGUACUAGUCUGCCGUCUUUGACUUCAUUUGCAACCCUCUCUUCCUUUUGUGCCUCUUCACCAAGAACAUUUGUCUGAAAUUCUUUUUAUGACUGCAGAUACCUUGAACAUCUGCACAUUCCUGGGCACCUCCCUCAAUCUCUCUGAAAUUCAGACAUUCAGAAUGGAAAAGGAUUUUGUUCAACUUGGGAUAGACUUGACGGAGGUAAAUUCUUAGAUGGUUGAGCAUGGACUGAUAUUUUAGGCUUCGAUACUUCAGAUUAGAGGAACCAGCAAAGAGUGUUUUUGGACGAUCAGCCUUGAAAUAGUACUCUUUCGCCAACAUUUUCAA